RNAcentral lists this ribosomal RNA (153 nucleotides) under Pseudo-nitzschia australis. RNAcentral's name for it is "partial Trypanosomatid mitochondrial large subunit ribosomal RNA". The record is from RNAcentral. Lineage: Eukaryota; Bacillariophyta; Bacillariophyceae; Bacillariales; Bacillariaceae.
AUCGGAUUGUGCUAGGUAUCGAAAAGAACAAAGUGGUUGGUGGUGCUAAAAAUCGAUCGGCUGUUCGCUAAAUGAACAUAUGUUGUAAAAAUACAGGGGAAUUAUUUUCGAUAUCCAUGAACGCACGAUGCCAUCUACACUUCGCGCAAUCAG